CAAUAGCGUAUAUUAAAGUUGUUGCGGUUAAAAAGCUCGUAGUUGGAUUUCUGCCGAGGACGACCGGUCCGCCCUCCGGGUGAGUAUCUGGUUUGGCCUGGGCAUCUUCUUGGAGAACGUAGCUGCACUUGACUGUGUGGUGCGGUGUCCAGGACUUUUACUUUGAGGAAAUUAGAGUGUUUCAAGCAGGCACACGCCUUGAAUACAUUAGCAUGGAAUAAUAAGAUAGGACCUCGGUUCUAUUUUGUUGGUUUCUAGAGCUGAGGUAAUGAUUAAUAGGGAUAGUUGGGGGCAUUCGUAUUUAACUGUCAGAGGUGAAAUUCUUAGAUUGACGAAGGACAAACUGCUGCGAAAGCGUCUGCCAAGGAUGUUUUCAUUGA
Molecule: ribosomal RNA, 380 nt
Filed under: uncultured eukaryote
Lineage: Eukaryota
Description: partial 18S ribosomal RNA
Rfam family: Eukaryotic small subunit ribosomal RNA
Source: RNAcentral